Eucalyptus grandis is the source of this 1050-nucleotide long non-coding RNA. RefSeq lists it as uncharacterized. The transcript is spliced from 3 exons. The record is from RefSeq and is a predicted model, not a curated record. NCBI's taxonomy places the organism in Eukaryota, Viridiplantae, Streptophyta, Magnoliopsida, Myrtales, Myrtaceae.
UGCGGACGAGAGAUGUGCUGGCUGUGGAUUCAUCGCUGCUGUUGGUCGAUUGGGACAUUCAGGUGGAGGUAGUAAAGGAAGUUGUGGCUGCAUAUCAGGGGGAGUUUCAGGGGAUUGGCGAGGGCGAUCUCUAUUCGAACUCGGCAGUGUCUAAUGGUUGAUCCUGCAGAUAUAGUGGAGUCAACAGCAACAACUGAACCUAUCUGUUGCACGGCCCGGCGAAGGAGCUGUUCAGUGCUCCAUUCCAGAGGUAAACCGUAUACGUGAACCCAGAAAGCACAGCAGGUAAAAUCAUACCAAUGUAGAGGUGUUUGAGGCAACCAUUGUUUAAAGAUAACCAGGUGUCCUGAAAACAACCAUGGACCUCCAUCAGCUACUCUCUGUUUCUCUUUCUCUAACUGAAACUUAGCAAUAUACAGGCCAUUAUCUCGCUGAGAUAUGUGGACACGUUCGGUCUUCCAUACUCUGGUCAUGGUGCCCGAAAAGCUGGCAAAUUAACGGUAGGGUUGGAUACUAUACUUCCAAUUAAGAGCAUCUAGUCGGACCGACUCGUCGGGUGCAUGCUCCUCCAUUGGAAUUAACCGACAGGUAAUUCUAAGAUGAAACCGGAAAACGGACCUGCAGCGAGGCUCACCGAUGCACCACGCCACAGCAAGUUCCGUCUAACCCAUAAUCCAUCAUCAAGAGUAAAGCAAGCAGAGACUUCGCAGGAGGUAGAAGCCUUACCUACCGAAUUGAUGCAAAUAGCGGACCCAUUGCUGCAAGUGGAGAAUCGGGUACAUGCAUGCAGCUAGACGAAACACAGGAGGAGAACUAUGUCGUACAGGGACAACAGAGCCACAGAUUCAACUGAAAGGAUAAAGAAGAAGGGGAGGUUACCACAUCGCAGGGAUUGAACGCUCCGUGGUGGUCGAGGAAAGAGGAAUUCAGAAGGAAGAUGAGAUUAGCGGGUAGUGAGUAGUGACUUUGAGAGAAAAGGCGUGAAAAAACUGUAAUCUACCAUGGUGGUAGGGGUAUCUCUGCAUAUCGAGAGAGAACUACCAUUGUCGG